CAAGUCGCACGAGAAAGCGGGAGCAAUCUCGCAAGUACAGUGGCGUACGGGUGAGUAACACGUGGAUUAUCUGCCCUGGAGUGGGGAAUAACGCUGGGAAACCGGCGCUAAUACCGCAUAUUCCCGAGAGGGGAAAGCAGCAAUGCGCUCGAGGAGGAGUCCGCGGCCGAUUAGCUAGUUGGCAGGGUAAAAGCCUACCGAGGCUGUGAUCGGUAGCCGGCCUGAGAGGGCACACGGCCACACUGGCACUGAAACACGGGCCAGACUCCUACGGGAGGCAGCAGUGGGGAAUCUUGCACAAUGGGGGAAACCCUGAUGCAGCGACGCCGCGUGAGCGAUGAAGCCCUUCGGGGUGUAAAGCUCUUUCGGCAGGGAAGAUUAUGACGGUACCUGCAGAAGCAGCUGCGGCUAACUACGUGCCAGCAGCCGCGGUAAUACGUAGGCAGCAAGCGUUGUUCGGAGUUACUGGGCGUAAAGGGUGUGUAGGCGGCCUGUUAAGUUCCGUGUGAAAUCUCCCGGCUCAACCGGGAGGGUGCGCGGAAAACUGGCGGGCUAGAGUGCGGGAUGGGAGAGUAGAAUUCCUGGUGUAGCGGUGAAAUGCGUAGAUAUCAGGAGGAAUACCGGUGGUGUAGACGGCUCUCUGGACCGCAACUGACGCUGAAACACGAAAGCGUGGGUAGCAAACAGGAUUAGAUACCCUGGUAGUCCAUGCCCUAAACGAUGCAUAUUUGGUGUAGGUCAUUCAGUUGAUCUGUGCCGGAGCUAACGCGUUAAAUAUGCCGCCUGGGGAGUACAGUCGCAAGGCUGAAACU
Molecule: ribosomal RNA, 812 nt
Filed under: uncultured Bacillota bacterium
Lineage: Bacteria; Bacillati; Bacillota
Description: bacterial SSU rRNA
Rfam family: Bacterial small subunit ribosomal RNA
Source: RNAcentral